RNAcentral lists this ribosomal RNA (567 nucleotides) under uncultured bacterium. Its description in RNAcentral is "bacterial SSU rRNA". It matches the Rfam family "Bacterial small subunit ribosomal RNA", at positions 338 to 916 of the family's 1533-position model. The record is from RNAcentral.
CCUACGGGAGGCAGCAGUGGGGAAUAUUGGGCAAUGGAGGAAACUCUGACCCAGCGACGCCGCGUGCGGGAUGAAGGCCUUCGGGUUGUAAACCGCUUUCAGUAGGGAAGAAGCGAAAGUGACGGUACCUACAAAAGAAGCACCGGCUAACUAUGUGCCAGCAGCCGCGGUAAUACAUAGGGUGCAAGCGUUGUCCGGAAUUAUUGGGCGUAAAGAGCUCGUAGGUCGUUUGUUACGCCGGAUGUGAAAACCUGAGGCUCAACCUCAGGCCUGCAUUCGAUACGGGCAAACUAGAGUUUGGUAGGGGAGACUGGAAUUCCUGGUGUAGCGGUGGAAUGCGCAGAUAUCAGGAGGAACACCAAUGGCGAAGGCAGGUCUCUGGGCCAAUACUGACACUGAGGAGCGAAAGUCUGGGGAGCGAACAGGAUUAGAUACCCUGGUAGUCCAGACCGUAAACGGUGGGCACUAGUUGUGGGAACCUUCCACGGUUUCUGCGACGCAGCUAACGCAUUAAGUGCCCCGCCUGGGGAGUACGAUCGCAAGAUUAAAACUCAAAUGAAUUGACGG